UUGUUUAGAUGGGUGAUGAACAUGGUGAUGACUAUGAAAAAGAAGAGAAGAUGAAGAUGGUGAUGUGAGUUUGGAGAAAGAAGAGAGAUUGAAGAAAUGAGAAUAAGGAGAAGAAGUGAACUUUGAAACUAGCAUGGCGGAAGAGAGAAGAAAGGGAGAGAGGUUUAUCUUUGUGUUUGAGAGUAUGUUUCUUGGCCUCUCGUUUAUAUAUGUUAUGUUAUCCACUUGGCUGGAUUGAGUUUGAGCAUUUGAUUCGCUUCAUAGUUCAUGUGUUUUUUUUUUCUUUUCAAUUUUGUUAUUUUUAAAAAGAAAAGUACUUAUGUGUAUAAAGGCAUUUUUAAAUUUUAUCUCAAAAUCCAUAAAAACAACAGAGAAAUGAGAGUAAAAACACUAUUGACUUAGAUAGUCUAUCCAUGGAUUCUUCACAAAUUCAUAUCCUUUUCUCUUAAACUUUUACGAUGAAACCAGUAAUUUCUAAAGAAAAGGUUUCUAGUAAAUCCAGCAAAUCAUUCGCUGAAGCAUUAGACAAUGUUUUCGGCAUCCCAAUUAGCCAACUCCCAACUCCUUAUGUGAAGGGGGAUAGGCUUUCCAUCUCGAUCCCAAAUGUUGCAUACCUCAUUGGGCUUGAUUCCUGCGAGCAUAACCUACAUGGAAGGAUCAUGUAGUCUAAAGGUUCCUAUAAGACCCCAAUUUUGACCCUAAGAUCCCUCAUGCAAUUUCAUCAUAUGCAUUAGCAUUGGGAUCCACCUUGGCAUCCUCCUUACCCCUCUCUCAUUGGGUUUGUUUUGGGAGAGAUCACCAAGCACCAUGUGAUUGUAUCAUACUUGCAUUUUUGCAUUUUACUAACCAAAAUACCAAAAAUAUAUCUUUUUAUUUGCCUAACUCUUUUGUAGGUAGAGCAUGAUCACCAUUGAUCUAUCAAGUUCACAUUUAGGGUUUAAGACCCUCAUGGCUAAGAGCACAAUCAAAGAUUGAUCCAUAAUGUCUCAAAUAAUUAUAUAUGAGUCUCAUUGAUCUCUACAUGUUAUAUUGAUCAAGUAUUCUUCAAGAGUUUGGAGGUGAUUUGCCUUGGAAACCCUAGUUUGACUGGGUGUCUUGAGUAACUUCUCCAACAAGCUAUCUCACCAGUUGAUCAAAUUUCUCAAAAGACACUUCAAAAUUCAUCAUCUUAUGCAUAUAUGAUCUACCAUGAUCCUAAAAAGUCAAGAGACUUGAAGGUUAGCAAGUUGGUUGAUGGUGGUUAGCCAAAUGAAUUCAUCUGAUCAACAUUGGGUCUCCCUAGACCCUAUCUCCUACAAUUUUCACCAUAUGAAAAUGAUUCCAAAAUAAAAGUUACUCUAAACGACAUUCCUAACAAAUUUCAUGUUGAGACCUAGAGCUAGUUUUGCUUGGAAAAUCAUUUUCUAUGUUGAAACAUUAUAGGUCAUUUUGUCUAAACCAUAAUUUGAAAGUCAACUUCCCAAGACCAUAACUUGCUCAAUUUUUAUGAGAUGAAAGAUUUCCAAGUUUCACAAUCAAAUUCAAGAUGUCUACUUAAACUUUGAUGUUUAGAGUGAGAGCUAAUUCAACUUUUAUGAGCAUGUGAUAUGAGGAUGCAUUAUAGGUCAUUUUUGACCUAUACCAUUGAAUAAGUGAUUUUUUCAAACUUCAAAAACGCAUAACUCUAUCAUUCUAAAUCCAAAUUACAUGAAAUUGGUGACCAUUUUUAAGGUAUUUGAAAUAGCUACAACUUUGAUGAAGACACCUUUCUCAUUUGAAGCUCACAUAAAAAGUUAAGCAAGGUGGAAUAUUGAGAUAUAUGACUUGACACUUAGAAAAAAUUUCAACAUGUUAAAAUUUCCAAACUUCCACCUCAAAAUUAACCAUGAUCCAAGCUCCAAAUGGAAAAGUUUUCAACAUCAAACUUGUUCCCCUUGAUCUAAGCUUUCCAAAGAACCCAAGUUCAUGCAUUUUGGAUGAGAUUUUCUAGGUAUGCGCAUGGCUUUAACAGAGCUGCAUGUUUGGAAGAAAUCAAAUGCCAAAAAUCAUAUUUCACAUUGCCUUGACAUCCAAGCAUGGUUUGAACUUAAGAACAUUGCAAGUGGAUCAAAUUGUAUUACUUCAUGGGCCUGUACACGCCCACGCAAGCUUGUGCAUGAAAUGUCCAAAUUUAGCAAUUUUUCAAGUGUGUAAAUAUCAUUCCCAAUUGCUAUAAAUACAGGCCCUUGGAGCUCAAUUGAAACACACCUUGCGCGCCAGCUUUGCCCCCCAAUUGAAACCCUCACAUUUCAAAGGAAACCCUGAUAAUUUUCAACUUGAAAAUUGAGUUUGAAUCUCACUGUUUGGAGAUUCAAGAACUCUAGGAUCCAAAGCUUUGUACCAUUGACAAACCUCUCCUACAAGCUUCUGAAGUGUGAUCAGAUCAAGUUUGAAGCAAACAACAUCAAGUUCUACACAUCAUUGAAGGUAAAUUUCAGAAAACUUCAUCUCUUCGAUUCUCACUCAAUUCUCAUCAAUUCUCUUGGAUCUUUGGUUGUAUGAAGUCCUACCAAUGUAGGCAAGAAGAUUGAGUUGCUUUGAGGUCAAAUCGAAGCAACUCAGUUGACACACCUCAUCAUCAAUUCUCUUGGAUCUUUGGUUGUAUGAAGUCCUACCAAUGUAGGCAAGAAGAUUGAGUUGCUUUGAGGUCAAAUCGAAGCAACUCAGUUGACACACCUCAAAAUUCAACUCCUCAUAUCUUUUUAUAUAUUUGGAGUUAGUUGAAAUUGAGACCAGAUUCGUGCUCUACGCCAUUUUUUCUUUCAGGUCAUGUCCUUUUUUUCAUUUUCUUGAUGGUGAUGAGUGAACCAGUCCGGUGGACCUCGCCUGAAAAGGUGACCGGAGGUCCAGCGCCGGUGGUGUGCUGGACAGGUUCUGAGCCAUUGAUCUCUUUUAAAAUGUUUUAAUCUCAUGUGUUACUUCUGAUUGUCAAGCCUAUGUCGCAUUGACUGCAGUGCAUCAUGGAACGCGCGAUCUGGUCCACUUGAUCCGCCACCUCAAUUAAUGAGGGAAAUCAAGUGGCUCACAUUUUUUUUAUUUUUUUUAUUUUUGUUUUAAUUCAUUUGAUUUUCGUUAAUUCAUAUUAAUUUUAAUAUUGAUCCAAAAAAUAUGAGAGUUUCACCAAAAAAUUUUAAAUAAAUUCCUCUUUCAUAUUCUGAAUUAAAAUUAUUUUUUGGAUCAUUAUUAAUAUUUUUUAUGAUUUAAUUGAUUUUGUGUUUAUUUUUAAUUGUUUAAAAAUACUUUUAAAUCUUUAAAAAUUCAAAAAAAAAAUUCUCCAAGGUCCUUUGACCUUUUUUAACCUAUGAUAAAUCUCAUGGUCAUUUAUUUGGUGUUUUGAUGAGGUUUUAGGAAUUUGACAAAUCAUAUUUAAUUUAAAUGCAUUAUUUUAGUAUCUUUAAAUUGAAUAAAUGCUAAAUAAUUAUGUUGAGCUCUUGUGAUGGUUUGUGUAAGUUUGACUUGUGUUGUUGGGCCUUGGUCAAGGUUGAUUUGACUUUGCUAGGUUAAUAUCAUUGGAUUUAGGGGAUUGAUGAAAUGUAUAUUCCUUCUCCUAAAAUGAAUGAAUUAUAUUAAUUUGGUAAAAAUCCUCAUUUGAUCAAUUUGAGUUUUGAUCCAUUCCCCUCCCUCUUCAUCUAAUUCCCCUUCUUUAUGCAUUCAUUCCAUUUGGCCUAUGAUAUCUCAAAGUCCUAAAGCUAGUUGGUUGAAAAAUCCACAUGAGUAUGGAUGAGAUUAUGCCACCUAUUUUGCAUAUUCUUUUUGUGUGUGGUAUGUUUCAUGAGCAUAGUCCAUUAUACUAUGUCUCUAACAUGCAUUAACACCAAAAUUCUAUUGCCCGCCCUCAAAUAGUUGUGGUUUCUACAUAAGUCCAAUUACGAUUGCUUAACAUAGCGCUAAAUUUUUGACACAAAAGGCAUAGCAUUCUAGUUAGUGAGAUUGUAAGUUUCCCAUCUUUCAUGGUAUUGUGUGGAAACUUGGCCUUUUUCCUUCCUUUGGAAGAUGUCUUGGUUCAAGGACCAUACUUGUGAUAAGUGGGUUGAGUGUUCUCCAAAGAAUGACUUAAAACAAAAACAAAAGCAAAACAAUACUAACUUCUAACUCAUUAACAACUAACAUUUAAUUUCAAGUCCUUUAUUUUAAUGCACUUUAAUUUUUAAGUUCUAUUAAUUUUCCAUUAUUCAUACCAUUCUAAUUGUUUAUGUUAAUGUCAUUUUCACUUUGUCUACUUGGACCAUAUUGUGUGAUAUAUCUUGUUUGUGUAUACUUUAUUUGUUCGAAUGGUCUUUGACCAUUAAUGUGCAUAAUAACAACAAAAAAACCUAAAAGACUAUUGUGUGGAUUGUUGACUUGAUCUUGGACAAUUGGACUUAGAAUUUAGGCAACAUUCCUAUGCAAUAAGAACUUGGCCAAUGUCAACUAUCAUGUAACCAAGUGCUUGCAAUUUGAAACUUCAUCUGAUACAUCUUUGAAGAUCCCUUUGAGUUCAUCUACAACAUGAUCAUUGUGAAGCUGUUAUUUUGAACAUGUGACUUGUGGAAUUCAUCUGCUACAUGGGCCAAUUUGAAGAAGAUUAUGGAGUGGCUAAGGCUUGGAUGGGGCUAUCUUUAUUUGAUGCCUUGCUCUUCAAGUUAAUAUUGUAUGCAUUGUUUGUUGCUUGAUUCUAGUAUCCACGGGAAUUUGGGAUUUCUAUAUGGAAUUCUUGCCUAUUGGAUUGCUACCCAUCGGUCAGAUCUUUUCAACUCUUAACUUUUAAUUUUGUGCAUUGGAUUAGUCUCUUCAUCUCCUCCCCAUUUCUUUAAUUUCAAAAUCUCUCCCUCCUUUCAGAAAAACUUCUUUGUUUGAACUUGUUAUUUUCUAAAUUUUGACCACUUUGCAAAUUAGAAACUUUGGCCUUAUGCCAUUGCCUUUUUCAAACUUCUUUUCUUAAUCAAACUUGUAAAUAUACUUAACUAUACUUUACCUAAACUUUCAAAAAAGCCAAAAAGAACUAACUCAUUCAAAUCAUUUUCUAGGCCUUUGUGCCUUUCAAACUUAAUUUUUGUUAAAAGCAAUGCACCCACUUUGAAAUUUGUAACACGAACUACCAGGUUUUGAUCCCUCAUUCAUAUGUUGGUUCGUAGGCACAAGUCCGAAGGUCUUGUCAAACAAAAAAAUAUAAUUAAUGAAUUCUUUUCUCAUCCCCCCAUUCUAUUUGUUUGUAAACAUCACUUUGUACAAAAUACAUAAGCACACAAAAGAGGGCUCCCUAGGAGUACCUAGGACACGUUGGGUGCUAACACCUUUCCUCUGUGUAACCAACCCCCUUACCUGUAAUCUCUAACAUUUUAUUAGUUUUGAUUUGAAAACUUCUUACUUUUGGGUUUUGUUCGUACUUUUUCCCUUUUCCCUUGGAAUUUUAUUAGUUUUGAUUUGAAAACUUCUUACUUUUGGGUUUUGUUCGUACUUUUUCCCUUUUCCCUUGGAAACAAUAAAAGCGCGGUGGCGACUCUUGUUAUUUGAUGUCUUGCUUAUCCAUAGCUUAAUGAUCAUGAAUUUACCGCUACAGUUCCUCACCAUUAACCGUGGUUCAAUUGAGAACGAAUUUGGAGAAGCUUUGGAGUUUGCUAUCUAAAUGGGACAUCAUUUCGCUCGAUAAGGGGUUUUUUAGUUCUCUUUCUCAAAUCUUGAGGAUGUUAGGCGUGUUCGUUCCAUGCCCUCUUGGAACCUGAGCCCAGGUUUUUUGAAGUUGUUCCAUUGGAUGAGGGAUUUUGUUCCUAACAAUGUUAACACACUUCGACUCAGAUCUCUAUUUAAAUUCAUGGUCUCUCUCAAGAGUAUUAGCGUCCUAAAAUAAUUUUUGUCAUUGCUAACAUCCUAGGAACCCCCAUUUGCAUUGACUCGACAUCUAAUAGACCACCUCUAGAGAGGUCUUUAGGACAUUGUGUUUGUGUGUUAGUGGACAUGGAAUUAUUGAAAGAAAGGAGAGAGAGAAAUUUGGUGGAAAGAGUUGGGUUCACUUUCUUCGUUGGUAUAGACUAUUAGAAAGUUCCAGAAUUGUACCAUUUCAACACAGCUUUAUGUCACUCUGAUGUAAGCUGCAAAAGGAACCCCCAACUUCAGGAAAGGGAUAUGGGUAGAAGAAUUGAUCCUAUGAAAACAAAGGUAGUCUAUAGAGAAAAGGAACAAAUGCAUUCUACUGUUGUUGUGAAUCAUGAUAAAGGUGACCAGAAACAAGUGCAUCCUACAUUGACUAGUGAUGACCACUUCUCUUGGACUCAAAGUUGUGGAACCCUAAUCUUUUAUCUUUGACACUUGUGGAUCAUGUGGAUUGCAUCAUGACAUUGGAAUUGAUUAUGGAUUGCAAGUUUCAAUUGGUCAACCAUGAAAGAUUGACUUUGACUGAUUAAUAUCUUUAUGGGCUUUUUCAAUACACUAGUCCAUUAAUUGUUUGGUUUGGAUUCAAGGCAGGGCAUUACAGUUCAUAAUUUGUACAAGAUCAAGUUUCAUUCAAAGAUCAAAGUUCAAUUCAAAUUCAAAUAUUCAAAUGCCAAUUUGGAGGGAAAAGUGUUUUCUUGAAGAACAAGUUACAUUGCCAUUCAAGGAUCAAUUUGCAUUACAAACCAUCAAAUAUACAUUACGCAAGAGUCAAAAACAGAAUCUACACAAGAUUUUACACAUUUUGACCUAGAGUUGAUUUUUAGUCAACUGUUGACUUUUUGGUCAAACAGUUGACCAAAGUCAACUAACUAUUCUAAAACCUAAUCCCACUUUUUCUUCAUCUUCAAGGCAUUCUUUUUUUUGUGCUUCCCAUAUCUUCAAAGAGCAUUCCAAAUAUCUUCAUGGUGCCAUGCUAUGCCAAUUUUGUUGCCAUGAUUAAAUCUUCAUGAACCUUGUAUGUCAUGCCAUCCCAUGCCCAAAUCAUCUCAUAUGCAUAAUGACCCUGCAACAAACAAAUCAAAAUUCAACAUGACUACACCAAUUCAAGCCAAACUUUUUCCACAACAUUCCAAUUGAUAACUCGAGCAUUGUGUCACAUUCAUUAACUACACAAAACUAACACAUCAAUUCCAUACUAACUACACUUCAAUGAAAUAAUUGCACCUAAUAACUAAUCCUAAUUCUAACUAUCUUUAUUUAACUAACUACUAUUUGAAAUUGACAUUUUUCAAUUAACCAUAACAGUAUACUAAAUUCCCUCACUAAUUUCCUAAAACUCAUAUCACUCACUGUUAUGGUUCAACUAACAUUAGUAGCUCAAUCUAGCUUACUAUCUAAUUUGUUUUCAAUUCAAAAUCAAUAACUACAACACAACCAAAACAUUAUCUAUACUAAUACCAUUCAGUAAUUAACAUCAUCAAUUCACAUGAAGUCUAACAAUCAGCUACAUGCCCUGAUUCAACACAACUAUCGAUUAACAAUACUGACAUAACCAGUUCAUUACCAGGGUAUGAGAACAAGGGAAAGUUGACAAAUGCAUCAAGUGCAGAAGUUUGGAAAGAUUGGUCCUCUUCAAAUCUGAUAAAGUGGCAAGUGACAUAGGGCAGCCUGUAGAAGGAAUUGAAGCAGAACUGUUGCAGAACAUAGGAAGCCAGAUUAAGAUCAUUGAAAUUCAAAACCGAUUAACUGAUUUCUGCCACUAACAUUCAACUAACUAUAUGACAUUUCAUCAACAUCAAUAAAUAAUCUAAGUGUUUCUCUAACAACUUAGCAUUAACAAUCACUAAUAGACUAACUUCAAACCUAAUUUCACUAAUUCAAAUUCAAUGCUAACAUAAAAGUACUUCAAUAACUGACAGGUUAGUGACUUUUUUCCUAACUAAUUCUUCUUCACAUCAAAGUUAACUAGCUCAGUUCAUUAACAAACAUCAAUACCAUCCUCACUAUGCUAAUAGAAUCAUUAGUUAACUAAUCUACAAUUCAAACAAACUAACUAACCAACUCAUUCUAUUAAAAAAACUCACUGCAGGAUUUAAGCAACAAUGAAUUCAUAACAGUUUCUCAACUAACUACAACUAAUUGAAUUCCAUAUUCAUAACUAACUUCACUUCUCAACUCCAUAAACAAUCACAAAUUGUUAGUAGUUCAUUCUAAUUCACCCUAAUCUAUAACGACUAACGUCCAAUUCAAUCUAACUAUCAUUAAUAGUUCACUAACAUUGUUAAGUCCCCUAACCAAUUUACCAUUUGAAUGAACUACCUUUAACAGUGCCUUAACCAUAACAAACUCUGCCCUAAAUCUUUGCCCAAAACAGUUAUGAUCACUCAUUUAUAUAACUACCAUUCCCUCCUUGUUCUCAUGCAACCAUUCUCAUUCUGAAAACUUUGAUCAUUAUGCAACUCGAUCUCUCUCCUUCUCAACUCACCAAGAGCUCCAAAAUACUCCAUUUUUGAUCAAGCUUAUCCUUAAAGCUUGCUGCAAAUUGAGCAUUAGUCACUCCUUUAUCCUACUCCCAUCACUCAUGCACUCAUCAUCAACGACAUGAAGACUUCACCUACAGACUAAAGUGGUAGAAGAAGAAGAAGGAAGAAUAAUAGCAAGGAGGGAAAAGUUCGAACUGCUUACCUAUAUGGUGUUCUAUCUUCAUUAGCAUCCUCAUCUUCAAAGCUCCCCAAGGUGAACCUCGACCUUACAGGUUGGUAGCUCCCUCCAUUUCUUCUUCUUUCAUAUCGAACUGGUUACCAAUAUGUAGAGGACAUUAAAGGGAAUCAAAGCCUCAAGGUUGUGUGGUUUGAUUCCCCUCCGUUUCGAUUUAAUUUCACUUUCUUAGGGUCUAGGGUUCUUCAAGGUUUUGGUUUGGUUUAGAGAUUUCGUUGCGUUUCAGAGGAAAUUGAUGCUAGAAUAGAAGAGAUGAGGUGGAAAGGGUUGAGAUGGUGGCUGUUUGAGGUUUAUCUGGAAUGCUCUUCCGCCCCUGGCGCGGCGGAGAGAUUUCCGGUGGUGGAGACGUUUCAAGAGGGAGAGAGAGUUCAGGUGAUGAAUUGUGAAAAUGAAUGAGGGUGAGUCUGAAUCCCUCGCCCUUUCCUCAUUCACAUUGGGAUUCAAGCGCCCUAAAGCCCAAAGGUCGUAUUUCCCACACAUUCCUGAUUACUCAUUCAUACCCUGUUUGUUCUGAACUCAACCAAAGCCACUAUGGGCCUUCUGAUGUUAGGCCCUGCACCAUUUUGCUUGACCAUAUGCCCCUGCAGGUCCAUGCACCCCUUUGUUUUGUUUUGUUUUUUGGUUUUUUAGUUUAUCUCUAUUUCUCUUUUAAUUUGUUUUAAUACACAUUAGUUUUCUUAUUUUUAGUCAAUACACAUUUUGAUGCUUUUUUUUACACAUUUUUAUUUUGCUUAAGAAGGAAAAAUACUUUGAAAAUUAAAUAAAAAUAAUAAUGCACUUAUGUUUUAAUUAGAAUUUAAGUAGGAUUAGUUUUAGGAUAAUUUUCAAUUGUUUUUUUUAGAAAUUGAUAAACAUGAUAAUAUUAUAUUUAUAUUUUAAUUAGCUAGUUAUUUCUUUAGAAAUUAAUAUGCAUGAUAACAUUUUAGUUUCUUUAGGAUUCUAGUCCUUGAUCACAAAUCAAUGUGCUUGUAAUCCAUAUCUUGAUCAUAUCCCUUAGUGAUUGAUUGAUCAAAGUCAAUUUUGAUCAAUUAAUCACUCCACAUUUGUCUAUUUCCCAUAUCCAGCCAAGUGAUCAUGAGCUUCUUGAUCACUUGAUAGGAUUAGUCUUCUGCAUUGGCAUUACAUUGGAUCUCUCAAGAUAAACUCAGACUCAAGACUUCAUACUCAAGUCAAACUCAAGCUCAAGACAUCAUGCAAGACCUUGGAGACUCUGGACAUCAAGACUGGAUCAUUGCUUCAUCAUUCAAGCACAAUAAAAAGAUUAUUCUUCAACAUUUGUCAGUCAUGAUGCAAGUUGUGCGGCACGAGCCUUAAGCAACGAAGAAGAAUAAGAGGGAUUAUUCUUAUCCUUGUUCUGAGUAUCUUUGGGUACGGGGCUUAAGCCCCAAUUAUUCAAAGUAUUCGCCUUCGUUCAUAAACUUUAGUUUAAUUCAAAUCAAAUGACUUUCAAGUUUUCUUCCCCACAAAUCACACUGCAACAAUUUUUAUCAACAAUACUUGUCUCUUUGGACCAAAGAUGAUCUUUUUUGGAAUCCAUACCUUCUUUGGGUAAUCAUCUCAUGGUUAAACACUCAUAUCUGAACCAAAUUCUUUCAUAGAUUACCCUGUAGAGCUUCGCGCUCUAGCAACCUUCAUGCAUUGCCAUGUAGAGCUUCGUGCUCUAACAACCUUCAUGCAUUCCCCUACGAGCUUCGGGCUUGAGCAUGACCUUUAAUUUUCCCUGUGUAGCUCCAUGCUCUACAACUCAUGCAUACUCUAUGAGAUCUGUUCUCAGGUAGAUCAUUCAUUCCCUAUAGGUUUUAUGCUUAGGCAACCCCAUUUCUGUCCUGUAAGCUUUAUGCUUAAGUAAAACCUUUUUGUAAGUCUUGAUCCCUGGAUCUAGGAAAAACCCUACAAUCCUGCAUUGAUCACAACAUUUACUGGUUAACGCCACACUCUUUGGUUCGUAUACACCUACCUUAUGGAUUCAAAUAUAAUAAUCUUGGUUCAAACAAUACUUUCACCACACCUCAAACAACACUUUUCCCAAUUAAUUCAAACUUCUUUUCAAGAAAGGUCUCUUUCUUUUUCUAUUCAAUCAAAUCUUUCUUUUUCUUUUAUCACACAAGCCUUUUUCAAAAUAAUUUUCCUUUCUUUUCAUAAAAUAACUUUUAUAAUUCAUUCCUUAGCAGUCAGACUAAAAUCUUAGAGCAUCCGAACAAGGAUCAAAUCAUAUAACAUCUACACACUUCUAGGAUACGAUUAUAAGUGUUCCCUACAAACAUCCAACACAUCCGUAUUUAUUAACAUGAACUUUGGAGCUCUGAUUUUCUCAUUGCACUAUGAGAAUACGUAGGCACGAGGACUUGAAUCCUUGGCGAGCACAUUAAUUAAUAAACUUAUUUUUUCCCUCUAAUAAUUUGCAAUUAACCUUUAGAUAAUAACACUCAUUCGCGCAAAGAACAAUCAAAAUGGUUCUCGUUAAGUACAACUGAUGUGAGGGGUGUUAAUACUUUCCCCUCGAAUUAUCGACUUCCUUACCCUGUUCCUCUUCCACUGGGUUUUAUCAAUAUUUUCCCUUUCCUUCUGGAAUAAAUAAAGUUUGGUGGCGACUAUGUUGCAUGCAAUAUGCUUAGGUAUUUUCAUGGCGCGACAUGUUUCUAACACGGUAGGGUUCAAAUGUUAUAAUUUUAUUACCCUUUUCUUCCCUAAAAUGAGAUUAAUUAUUAGGAUUGAUCUGCACUUUGAAAAAAUAUGAAUAUAAGUUUUUCGUAAUUUAUAAAAUUUACAAGCUUGGAAAUGGGUGAUCCUCUGAAAUUUCUAAGACGGGUGAAAGAUAUUCCCUUUGCAGCAAUAAGAGUGUUUGCUACCGAUUUUUAUAACAUAUAUUGAGCGGGUAAAAUGGAUUUUCAAACACUUGCUUUAAUUAAAGAAUAUGGUUUUGAUCUUGGGUAGAGAUAUAAAAAAAUACCUAUAUGAUAAAGCAUCAAUGAUAAGGCCCCAUACUUAGCCCCAUUUUAUUAGACCCCCUAAUACAUGUACAUUUUUGGGAAUUUCUUAUCGCACCUUAUGGGGUGGAAAAACACCAUAUGGAAAAUCGAAAAUGCCCCUCAAAUUUCGGAGAUGUAUCUCCGAAGGCACUUUGUCUUAAAUCAAAAUGUUAUCUGGUCCGAAGAUGCAUCUCUGAAAUAUUUUAAAUCAUACAUAAUAAAUCCCACUCGGAAAGGCAUUUUACAUGUUUAUUGUUCCGGAUAUGCAUCUUUGUUUAGGAUUUAUGGAGAUGCAUCUUCGUACCCUAUCAUAAUAGUGAAGGUUAUGUUUGUUUUAUGGUUACGUAGAUGAAAGUGGUGAUUUAUAAAUGUUAAGAACCCUGUUAUGUGAUGAGAUUUAAACCAUACAAUCGAUAUGAAAAAAAUGACAUAUAUAAAUCCAGAUGAUCCAAAAAUGAUAUAUGUAAAUAAAGUCAAAACACAUUACAAAGUAGAAUGAAGUGAAAAUAAAAUACAAUCCAUAAUGCAUUUAAAGUAUAACUACAAUAUACUAUUGCGUAUACGGGACUGCAGCUCCUCAGGCUCCUUGGCCUCCUCUAUCCCCCAUCCUCUAACACUCUCUCUGGUACAUUAGUGCCUCUUGUGCCUUUGUCAUAAUGGGAUCUAGGACCUGCCUCACCUUAUGCCCAUCAGGGAAGAUACAUUUGUCAAUGCCUGACUACACAAUCUCCAUGAUGCAACAAAAUCUAGGCAAGACAUCAUAAGCAUGAUCUAAUUGUAUUUACUCCUCCUCUAGUAUCUCGUGAUGAGUUGGUACCCAGUGGGUAUCCUAGAUUAGUAUGCACUAUAUAUGAAUGUCACACCCUGAAGAACCACCUAAUUUACCUAUUGACAUAGCUCCAUCCGCUCUUAGCUAUAGUAAUUAGUGUCACCUUCAGUACCAAAUGACUAAGAUAAUCAUCAAACAUGGCAUCCAUCUCUCUACGUGUCAUAGCAGGAGGAGCGGAGAACACAUGAUGUUUGUGAAUAGUCUGAGUGUAGUUGAACUGCUACAUGACGCGCUCAGGAAGAUGAUGAAAUGUGAGACGUUAGCCGCAAGCCAAUUAUCCCGAGUAUAUCACUAUAUCGUCAAAUGGUCGUGCCUAACAGUGGUGAACAUAGAUGUUGAAGUGCAUAUCCUUGGCAACCAAGUGAUUAAGUUACACUUUGAACGACUCUAUCACCUGGUUCCCUAUGAGCGAGGAAAAUGUAGAAGCAUGUGGCAUAUCCUCAGUAUAAGUCGAUACACAUGACCAGCCAGAGAUGCACAGGAAGUGUUGGAGGAUCCAAGCCUGAAAAGUGUUGGAACACUCGAAUCAUCGGUAAGGUAAUUGCAAAAAUGUAAUAAAAAUGACACAGAAGUAUUAAUCGAUAGUAUGAUGUUGCAUGUGACUUGCUUUGUCUUCCAUAUACAACCCUCUGAUAACUUCAAGUACAAGUAGACCAACACAAGCGCCCCUCAAGUGUACUCAUGGAUCUGCUCGAAGUACCGUAGGUAGAUAGAAUCUGUAUAAGUGGCACUCUUGUCCAUAAAAAUCGCAGUGCCGACCAAAUAUAGUAGGUAUUCUCUUAUAGCAUAUGCUUUAUGGAGCUCCACAUGCUCUUCAAUGCCUCUAACCUCCUCAACUCUAAGGAUCUCAUAUGUAUAUACCUUUUUCAGGAAUUCAAACCUAGCAUUAACCCUUCUGGUUUUUUCGUACUCCCUCAUGGCAUCCUCUAGGUCAACUCCCAGAUAGUUUACCAUCAUCUCGAGUGCCUCGUCUCUUCUAAUCCUCUCAUGAUCUAGAAGUUUCCCCAUGAUCGAAAGAUGCAACAAACGUGACACAUCGUCGAGUGUGAUAGACAUCUCACCAAACAGGAGAUAAAUGGCAAGGUCUCGGUGUGUCAUCUCUCCAUGAAUGCAUUGAGCAUCCCGUGGUUAAUCGUAACAUAAUUGGACAUGCAAAAGUCCUUCAUCCCAGAUAGGAACAAAGCAGCUUGAAACCACUCAUCAUUCGACUGAGGCAAGCCAGUAAUCUUUCACCCAUGGUUAAUAAACUUAAGUGGAUCACAGUAAUCUAAAAAAAUAAAUCAAUGUCACAAACUUGUAAUAUAAUAAUAAACGUAAUUUAAAAAGAAUGAAUCCAUCUAAAUUUACGUUUCCGUCCCAAAUAUAUCUGGCAAUAUAGUUUGGGUACAAAGGAAGCAGUGACAACUCUACAUGGCAUCCUCCAAAUUCUCGAGGUGACACUGGUUCAUCAUCCACAUUAGCUAGAGGUAGCACUGGCUCAGCAGCGUCAUCAGUCAGAGGUAACAUUGGCUCAAAAGCCUCAUCGGAAUGAGUUACCUUCGAUACCUAAGGUGGCACUGGUGCCUCGCCUACCACCGGUGACUCGCAUACCUUUGGUGCCUGAAUAAGUGAAACCCGUCACCUGCAGGAGGAUGGAGGCAGUGAUGCAUUAGUAAGUGAAACUUGUUUCCUACAGGAACAAGAAGAUGAAGAAGCAUGUGUAGGUUAGAAAAAAACAAGAAAGGGGUUUGAAUUGUGUUUACUAUUUCUUCUUUUAAGCUUUAAGGGUUUCGGCUUCUGAUGACUUUCAAAUAGAUUCUGAACACUUAAUUUAGAGUCUUACUUAGAAAUACUUGGUUAAAUUAUUAUUGAAAUUAAUCAAAGUCUAAACCUCUCGCUCAGAGUCUGAAUCACAGUCACUCAAAAUCUGAACUCUUGUAUAUCUUUAUCAGAUACUGAAAUAGAAUUUGACUCAUAUGUAAACAAAUGAUAACAUUGAAAUAGUUCAAAAGCACGUAAAGUAAAAGUGAAGGUGAGAAAAAACAAGAAAGGGGGGGUUUGAAUUGUUUGGAAAAAUAAGCGCUUUUUCAAAAUGAAAAUCACACAAAGAUUUUAUACUGGUUCGCUUAUAACACAAAGCUACUCCAGUCCACCCGGCCGAGGUGAUUUCGCCUUCAACAAGGACUUAAUCCACUAAUCUUGAAAGAUUGAUUACAGACACUCUAAAGAAGAUAGUCCUCUCAAGUAUCAGACUACACAGAGUACUUGAGGAAAUAACAAACAUAUAUAUGUAAUCUAGAGUGCUUCUAAGAACAAUUACAAUAGUAGACAAGGUGACCACGUUAAGCAAAGCUUCGUGAAGAUUUAGAGAGUGAGAGAGUUUUCUGACGCGUGAUGUUUCAGUAUAAUUUUUGUGAUGUGUAUGUGCUGAAUGUUGAUUUGCAGUCCUUUAUAUAUAGAUCAGUGAGGUAGUAGUUGAAACUGAUGAGUAAUAAAAUGAAUUACGCCAUAACAUAAAUAGCUUCUGUCAGGAUAACUUUCUCUCCUUGAAAUGACUACUUACCACAUAUAGUACCUUCUUAUUGAAAUUGGAGAUUAACGUCUCUUUCUUGAUUAGGAAAUCCUUUGCAAACCUUUACUUGACUUUAACGUUACUCUUUCAUAAUCAGCAUUCCUAAUCAGAGUCUUCGUGUAUCUGAGAAUCUGGAGUCUUGCUCUGAUGUUGAUCCUUUUGAGUUCUGAUGGAUUCUUCAGAUAGCGCUGAGAGUUUCUGGAGUUAACAUACCGUUGUUCAGAGUCAGAACUUCUGAGCUUACUUCUUGUUUAGAAUGCUUCUGAUACUUUGCUGUUUUGCUCAGAGUUAGACUUUCUGGAACGUGUUUAACUUCAGAUGCUUCUGAUCAUUUGAUAAUUGUAAUCUGAUCUGGUUCUGUAUCUGAUGACGUCAUCAGAUCUUCCUUCUUUUCUUAGACCCUGCACACUAAGAAACUUUUCGUUAGGUGCCAUUUUUGGUUUCAUCCUUUGUUAUAUCAUCAAACAAGGAAUCUGUGUAGAACAAUUUUUGUUCUUACAAUCUCCCCUUUUUGAUGAUGACAAAAUAUCUUAAUUAGCAAUGAAACAUAUAAAAUAUCAGAUCAGAUAGACAAGAGCUCCCCCUGAGAUAGCUAUGCGAGUCAGCAGUUCUAACCAGAGCUUCUAAGUAAAAGGUUUCUUGAUAACCUUCUGCAAUUUCUUAAGUCAGUAGUAAUAAAUUUAUUUUUAAGAAAAUAUUGUGGCAGAAUACUUAAGGUAUUAGAACAAUAUUUUCAUCAGAGCUAUAAUCAGAAGCUAUUAAUGACUUCUCCCUCUUUUGUCAGAAUCAAAAAGACAUAGCAAAAUAAAUAAUUGAAGAGAAAAACAUUGUAUUUAGAUAAAAAAUCAACAGAGGCAAAAAGGAACAAGUAAACAUCAGAAGGUAAAAAAAACAAAGCAACAAAAUCCUAAGUGCUAAGGGUUGGGAGGUGGAGGCAUCUCUGAAGCAAACAUACGCAGCAUGUUCUGAAUGUUGUCGUUGAUAGUGUCUUGUUUGUCCAUCUGGCACGGAGUCUCUGAUCUUGCUUAAGUUUUUCUAGCGUCUGGAGACCAUAGGAUAACAGAAAGAAGAAGACUCCCCCUGGUCAGAGCCUGUGUGCUUCAGCAGGCAGCCAGCCUUCAGCUCAGCAGCAGCGUGCUUCAGCUCCUUUAAUCCUUAGAACUUCAGCUCCUUGCUCUUUCUUCCAGCUUCUAACUCUCUUCAGCUUCUCUUGCUAAUCUCCUCCUUCCAGCCUCUCGGCUUCAGCUUCUCGUUGCAAGUCUUUCCUGAAGUCUUGCCUCAGCAUCUCUGAUGUAGCCAUUCCUGACUUGUUCAGAGAUGUUCUUCUCAGUCUAAAGACCUCAGAGGUCAUCCAGCCAAGACUCUGUCCAGUGUGUCCUAAAGUUCAGGAUCAUCACUGACUUCAGAGUUAGUGGUCAGAGACUUGACCUUUUGUACUGAAGCCCUGCGACCAGCAUGAUGGCUUCCUCAAGGUAGGUAUGAGAAAGGUCAGGUUCAGAGGUUUGAGGUGAAGAAAUUGGAGGCUGAGAUUUAAUGGAGAGGUUCAGAUCCUGCUUCAGGUUAGGUCAGAUUUUGGGGUGAAGCGUAAAGAGGGUUUAAGUCUAAUGGUUCAGUUUCAGCUUCAGGUUCAGGUUCAGCAGAGGUGUUUGGAGGGUGAUAUCAGAGGUGUGGAGGUCAGAGGGUUGAGUUCAGAGGGUGAGAAGUAUGUGUUGUUUGUUCUGGUGAGGUGAAGUUGCUUCAGAUUGUGUUUGUGUUGUUUGUGUGAAGCAAGGUUUGAGCCUGAAUUGGGCUAAGGUUGGGGAGUCAGGUGUCGCACCUCAAAAAGAAUGAUAAUGCGACCCUCACAUGUGAGACCGGAAAAUGUUAUUCGAACGAAGUCGCCACCGGAACUUUAUUUAUCCCAAUGAAGGGAUAGGAAAUAUCGAGAAAACCUCUAUAGAUAAGAAUUAAUGGUCCGCAACCAUAUUCGGGUUCGGGAGUCGAUUACGCAAGGGAAGGUAUUAGCACCCCCACGUCGUUGUAUCUCACGAAGACCUCUUAGUCUGAUUGCUAUUUGACUGUUAAUUGAUCUUAUCUUGUUGCUUCGAGUAAUUAGAAUUGAUGAUAAAUAUGGAUGAAGACCUCAGGAGGGGGAAAUGGAGAGGUAUUUUUAUGUGUGUCUCGCGGAAGAUAACAGCAGAUCAUCCUGCCUACGUAUCCUUAUAGUGCAAUAAGGAAAUCAGAGCAUUCGUAGUUCGGGCUACUACGAAUAUUUGGUGGGUUUUGUUUUGAUGAACGACUGUGUAGGUCGGCGUUCUAAAGGUUAAACGCUGGCUUGUCUACUCUCGGGGGAGGCUUAAGCACUGGUUUGUUGUGCGCAUUAGAAAGGAUUAACAGUGUUCUUUUUGAAAGGGUUUUGGUCACGCGGGGGUGACAAGUUGAUUUGAUGUGUUUGGGUGUUUUGGUUUGGUUUCGAUCGCUCGGGGGCGAGAAAUUAGUUUUAAUGCGUUUGAGAUGUUUUGAAGAACGACGAAAGAUUGAGCAAUGUGGUGUACACCAAUCGUCCAAUUUUUUCGAGGAAUAAUAAGGCGUACGCCUUCUAUUCCCUUUUUCGUUUGAAUUAUUUUGAAAGUUUGUUUGUGGAUGUUGAAUACGCACGGUAGUGAGGCGUACGCCUCCUACUUGCUUAUUGAAGGAAUAACGAGGCGUACGCCACCUAUUCCUUUAUCCAAGUUUAUUUAGCGUGUUUUAGUCGGAAGUCGAUAAUUUGUGCAAUAUGGCGUACGCCAAUUAUUCAAAUAAUCGAGAGAUAGCGAGGCGAACGCCUCUCAUCUUCUGUCACCCGAGGUUUAAAUUGUAAAAGAUAUAUUUGGAUGUUGCAUUUGAUUUUCGAAGAUAGCUUGAAUUUAUUCGAUUGUGUUUUAAUUUGAUGACGAAGAUUCGAGCAACGUGGCGUACGCCAAUUAUUCGAAUAAUCGAGAGAUAAUGAAGCGGAUGCUCACUAUUCUCCUUUUCAUUCAAAGAUUAAUUAUUAAAAUAAAGCUUUUAGAAUUUAUGAUUAAUUAGGGGAGUGAUUUUAAUUUUAUGGAGUUUUAGAGUUUUAAAUGAAUGACGACAAUCCGAGCAAUAUGGCGUACGCCAAUUAUUCGAAUAGUCGAGAGAUAGUAAAGCGGAAGCUUACUAUUCUCCUUUUCAUCUCAAUGUUUAUGUUUAAAAGAGAAAAUUCUUUUGAAAUUGAAUGGUUUGGAAAAAUGAUUUGAAGUGGUGUGAUUUAAGAUUUAAUCGGGUGACAAGAACUCGCGCAAUAUGGCGUACGCCAAUUAUUCAAGUGCUUGAGAAAUAGUAAAGCGUACGCUCCCUAUCUCCUUUUCAUCCCAGGUUUAUGUUUAAGAGAAAAUUCUUUUGAAAUUGAAUGGUUUGGAAAAAUGAUUUGAAGUGGUGUGAUUUANNNNNNNNNNNNNNNNNNNNNNNNNUGAAUGGUUUGAAUAAUUUGAAUUUGGAAAUUAGAUUUGAUUUUGAAAAGUGAUUUGAAAUGGUGUGAUUUAAGAUUUUAAUUAGAUGACAAGAACUCGCGCAAUAUGGCGUACGCCAAUUAUUCGAGUAAUUGAGAAAUAGUAAGGCGUACACCUUCUAUCUCCUUUUCAUCCCAAAUUUAUAUUUGAAAGAGAAAAAAACUUUAGAAAUUGAGUUGAUUGGAAAAUGAUUUGAAUUUGUGUUGAUUGAAUAAAUGAAUUUUAUUUUGUGUAUUAUUUCAUCUACUCGAUUAAUCAAUAACCAAGUAGGUUUCAUUGUAAGAAAGCCCAAGAGUAAGCUAUGUGAGGUUGAUGGCGAUGCGAAGAGCAACCGACUUACAAGGGUGUUUUAAAAAUGGGCUCGAUAUUUGGAUCGAGAAUUGUGAUUUGUGCUAUUUUUUGAAAUUGGUUUGUGUUGGAUGAUGAAUUGAAGUUGAAAUAAAAUUGAAAAUGAUUGCAUGAAAUGGUUUUUGUUUUAUGAAAUUUGAAAUGAUUGCAUGAAAUGGUUUUUGCUUUUGGUGAAUCAAAAUUGACUUUAUAGAAUUAACCAAAUUUAGAUAGGAAAUACUUGAACCAAUACUUUUUAUGAGAGUGAAAAAAAUAACUUGAUUUGAUUCGAAAAUUGUUUUAGGUUGAAAUUGAUGAUGUAAAUCAAAAAUGGUUAUUUGCUUGUAUGGUUGUAUGGAAUGAACAAAGGAUAGAUAUUGAUCUUCUGAGUGCCACAAAAUCAAGUAAUAAGAAAUAUUUCUACUGACAAUUUAAUUUAUCCAUCUAAUUAGCUCCUAAUUCAUCAAUUAAGUAAUACCAAUAACUGAAAAACCAAUAAAUUGCAUACAGUGGUAAAGCAAAUCGUCCAGAUUAAAUUGAUCUUAAAUCCGAAACCUCUUUCUUCUAACUUUAAACAAUCCUCAGCAACAAAAAAAGCCCAACCCCAAAUCAUUUGGUGAACUAUAAAGAAAAAAAACCCUCAAACAAGCCAACAUCUCAAAAUGAACCUAAUAAAAGAGUAAAGAGGCCCCUCAACAUAAAACGAACAACAGGAACUAAGCAAAAACCAACCACUAUAUGCACGAAACCAUUCAAAACAAGCACCCACAUAACAAAGAAACAAAAGUCACUGAAACGACGACUACCACAAGGACGUACCGGAUAGCAACAAAUCUACAUGAAUCAAGCACCAAAACGGAAACCCCCAGCAACAUCAACAAUACGAAAGAAUAGUGGAAUACAAACUAAGCACAGUGGAAAAAAUAGAAAGAAAACAAAAGACCAACCAAAAUCAAAAAGAGCAAAAUGAUGAUGCUGUUGGAUUUAUUGCUGAGACGAUGUCUUGCUUAUUUCCGUUGAGGACUUCGACGAAUGGCUUGGUAACAUUAUUUGGUCGCGAGCUACCCGAAUCCGAGCCAGAACCGCACCCAAAUGACCAAAGGCUACCUUCUAGAACCCAUUUUUCACGAGCAAACGACAAGUGAGUGACUAUGAAGGAAGUCGUGCGAGUUGGUGGUGGUCGGCGAUUUGAAGAGGGUUUCGCGGUGGGUUUGCUUAGGGUUUCGUGGACUUGGGGGUAUCGCCGAUGGUAGCGGCGCGAUGGAGAGCGAAACAGGGUAGCGGUUUGUGGUGUGGGUCUUGAUGUGGUUGAGCGGCGAGGAAGAGUUUCGGAUGGCGAGGAAGGUGGUUUCGCCGGUGGGAGCGUUGGAUGUUGAAUGGUUCGUCGGAGAGGGUUUGUUGAGAGUGUGACAGGGUUUUCACCGGUGACGGCGAGGUGAAGGUGGAAGUGAUGAACAGUGGUUGAAAUGGAAGCACGGCGGGUGGAUAUUUGGGAUUAUGGUGAGCGAGAGGCGGAGGAGGGUUAGGCGAAGGGAUUUAGGGUGGAGAGAGGAGUGAAUGGUGGUAGAUGAUGGUUUUUGGUUGGAGAAGGUGAAGGGCGAUGGUUGAGAGGCGGUGGAGGCGUGGAUGAUGAUUGAGGGGUCGACGAUAAGGAAGAAGAGGUUUAAGGGUUGUUGGUGUUUGUGCGGUUUGGAUGCGGAAGGUGGGAUUUGUGAGAGCGCGUGAGUGUGUUUGUUGAGGGG
Molecule: long non-coding RNA, 20495 nt
Filed under: Lathyrus oleraceus (garden pea)
Lineage: Eukaryota; Viridiplantae; Streptophyta; Magnoliopsida; Fabales; Fabaceae
Description: Pisum sativum (pea) long non-coding RNA (PSAT_LNC000973)
Source: RNAcentral